Molecule: small RNA, 299 nt
Filed under: Arabidopsis thaliana (thale cress)
Lineage: Eukaryota; Viridiplantae; Streptophyta; Magnoliopsida; Brassicales; Brassicaceae
Description: ATSL268880
Source: RNAcentral
UAUAGUAUCCUUGUUUGAAGAUACAAAGACAAACACUCAUACGGACUUCGGCUACACCAUCAAAGCUUUGAGAAGCAAGAAGAAGCUUGGUUAGUGUUUUGGAGUCGAAUAUGACUUGAUGUGAUGUGUAUGAUUGAGUAUAAGAACUUAAACCGCAACUGGAUCUUAAAAGCCUAAGUAGUGUUUCCUUGUUAGAAGAUACAAAGCCAAAGACUCAUACGGGGUUUAGCUACACCAUCAAAGCUUUGAGAAGCAAGAAGAAGCUUGGUUAGUGUUUUGGAGUCAAAUAUUACUAGAUG